RNAcentral lists this ribosomal RNA (586 nucleotides) under uncultured fungus. RNAcentral's name for it is "eukaryotic LSU rRNA". The stretch from base 187 to 340 matches the Rfam family "5.8S ribosomal RNA". Lineage: Eukaryota; Fungi. The record is from RNAcentral.
UAAAGAAUUAUCAAAUUCUUCAAACACCUCUGUGUAUCGGUAGUCGUUGCUUCCACGGUUGCGCAGGCUCUUGGGCAGCCUGUGUGGCCAACCGUCAAAGGUAUGGUCCGCCGUGGAAGGUUCAUUAAAAAUCCAUUGUGCUUUUGAUUGCGUCCGAACACAAGUGAAUGUAAAAUUCGAGUUCAAAACUUUCAACAACGGAUCUCUUGGUUCUCGCAUCGAUGAAGGGCGCAGCGAAAUGCGAUAAGUAGUGUGAAUUGCAGAAUUCCGUGAAUCAUCGAGUUCUUGAACGCAUAUUGCGCCUCCAGGCAUUCCUGGAGGCAUGCCUGUUCGAGUGUCAUCAAAUACCCUCAGGAAUGGAUUUUGGAAUUCGCUCCUGGUAUUGAUUGCGUAGCAGGCGGCACCGUUGCCUUUGCUUCCGAUCGAAUUCCAUUGGCGCCAGCUGCGUCUUUCCCUUCGGCAUAAUAGCAUUGUUACCUUGCCGUCGUGAGAUCGGCUGGCUGCCCGCUUCUGUACAUUGUUCGAUUCUAUAACCUCGAAUCAGGCAAGAGCACCCGCUGAACUUAAGCAUAUCAAUAAGCGGAGG